GUAUCCUCACCUUAAGAAUAUAGGCUUUGGUGUCCUGUGUUAUGGUUUUUGUGUCUUUGUUGUGCACUGAAACAAACUGGCAGAAAUGGUCUCAAUUAAUGCUGUGAAAAAAUCAUGUACUUGCUCCUUCCCAUCCUUACCACUAAACCUAAUACCACUGAGGCUAAAAAUGCUUUAAAAGAACUGCUUAGAAGAUGCCUUAAAAGAAGUGCUUAGCCCACAAUGGGUUUUCAACAAAUAGUAAAUGAUUGACAAAGUGACAGAAUGCCGAAGUUCUUGAACAAUGAUUUAAAUUCAGAAGAAGAAAACUUUUCUUCUAGAUAUGAUAUCUGUUGGGAGCAAGGCUACAUAAUUCUAGGGAUAAAUCAUUUGGUUAGCCUAGUUCUCUUGCCUACAGCCCAGCUACAGAAUAACUCCAGUUUGGCCUCCGGUCACAACUGAGACUUCACUGAUCCAGUGAUGUUGUGAUUCUCCAGGACAAGAAACAUCCUGGGAGAACAAACAUCUGCUCAGUUCCUCAUUGUUCUUGGACUGAUUAACAUCUUGUUUGCCGGAGAUGUACUGAACUCUCUGCAAGCCUUCCGUUACACCUUGUUUAUCCCAAUGUGAACUAUUGAACUCUCUGCAAGUCAUUUGUUACAUUUGUUUCUCCCGAUGUACUGAAUAAAAGGUAUGGUAAGCUGGGGGCUUUGUCUUUGCUGCCCAGAGUAGCACUGAUCAGAACCAAAGCUCAGCUUCUUCUCAGUCUCGUUUUUCUACCUUUCCUGUAAUUCGCCGUGUGCUGCCGUGGCUCGCAGGAGACCAGGACUCACUGCAGAGGUUCUGGUAACGUCCCCUUCCCCUGUCCCCUACAGAUAUCUUUAUUCUUCAGGUAUAAAACUAGAUAUUACUUCUCUUAGAAAAUGAAGAAAAUGUGUUUAUUUUACUUAUUGUUAGCAAAAUUCUGUUUUCAAUUAUUGAUACAAUGGACCCUUGAAUUAAGACUGGCCUGACAUAUGAUCAACUUGAGUUAUGAUUAGAAUUUUUGUUUUAACUUACAAACAAAGUCUUGAGUUACAACCUAAAUGCCGGCCACUUGUGCUUCCAGAUGGUCUCAGAUACAGACUUAGCCCUUAAAGAGUUCUGGAAGGACCAUUACAACAUCCUUUCCUGUGUGGGGUUAAUUGAAAAAUCCUAGGCCAAUGUCUCUCUAAGGACACUGAUAUCUACCUGUAUACAGGAGAGAGACUUUGAAGGCUGUUUAGAGGAGCCUGAGCCUUCAAUUGACCAACCUGAGUUACAACCAGUCCUCAGAAAUGAAUUGAGUUCAUAAGUCAAGGGUCUGCUCUACUUAUCAGAAUAAUGCCUUACAUUUAAUUGAUACUCAAAUAUGUGAAUGGAUGAAGGUUGCACAAAUCCUUAAGGAGAGCUAUAAAAAAUGCCCAAAGUACAGAUACCACUAUUCCAUGCAGACAUGAAAUGAGGGAAAAUUUACAGGUACAGCAGGUUCAAUUUAUUACUCAUUGCCUGUUAUUUCGAUAAUUGCUUAUUAAUCCCAACUAUUGGCUGACUAAUGUUCAAGGUAUUUGGGAAAUAUCAGUGAAGAAAACAGCCAGUGAAGAAAAUGUCAGCCCAGGGCUUACAUUUUAUCAAGGAUACAGAUAAUAAAUGAUAAACCUAAUGAACAAAUAAAUUGUAUAGCAUAUUGGAAUGUGUACAAAAGAAAGAAUAAGUACAGUAAGAUAUAGAAGAUUGGGUAGUUGCAAGAAGAGUUACAAUUUUAAGAAGAAUACCCUGGUACCCUAAAUCAGUAGGUAACAUUUGAACAUGAAUAAAGGAAGGGAGUGAUACCUGAAAGAUCAGUCAUUAGGCAGUAGGAAAAUGCCAUGCAGAGGCCUCCAGAGGAAGCGUUCUUGGAACGUUUAAGGAACAGCAAAAAGGCAAAAAUGAGUGUAGCAGAGUGAAAGGAUAGAUCUAAAGGCAGAGAUAUUGGGAGUUGAGGAAGGCAGAACAUAGAAGGUUCAUAGGUGAUGACAAGAG
This is a long non-coding RNA of Heterocephalus glaber (naked mole-rat), 2019 nucleotides long. The record is from Ensembl. Lineage: Eukaryota; Metazoa; Chordata; Mammalia; Rodentia; Bathyergidae.